RNAcentral lists this ribosomal RNA (253 nucleotides) under uncultured bacterium. RNAcentral describes it as "partial 16S ribosomal RNA". It matches the Rfam family "Bacterial small subunit ribosomal RNA", at positions 524 to 776 of the family's 1533-position model. The record is from RNAcentral.
GACGGAGGAUGCAAGCGUUAUCCGGAAUGAUUGGGCGUAAAGCGUCUGUAGGUGGCUUUUUAAGUCUGCCGUCAAAUCCCAGGGCUUAACCCUGGACAGGCGGUGGAAACUAACAAGCUGGAGUACGGUAGGGGCAGAGGGAAUUUCCGGUGGAGCGGUGAAAUGCGUAGAGAUCGGAAAGAACACCAACGGCGAAGGCACUCUGCUGGGCCGACACUGACACUGAGAGACGAAAGCUAGGGGAGCAAAUGGG